AAAAGUCUAGGUUAAAAAAACUGCUCAAGGAGGCAUAAUAGGUGAAUCAAGUGAAUCAAAUGAGAGCAGGUUUCCUGGAAAAAUCAAUGGCCAGCAAAUUGUGGUUCAAGCUUUGGAACCUCUAGACAAAAGCAAGGGAAUUAGCAAUUUGAGCAGAAUAAACUCAAGGUCAGAGCGCAUUGAAGCCUGGCUAUGAAGGAAGAUCAAUUUCUGCAGACGCUGUCUAAUUCUAUGAUUUGUGAAG
RNAcentral lists this long non-coding RNA (244 nucleotides) under Panax ginseng (ginseng). Its description in RNAcentral is "long non-coding RNA (PGIN_LNC007682)". The record is from RNAcentral. Lineage: Eukaryota; Viridiplantae; Streptophyta; Magnoliopsida; Apiales; Araliaceae.